GACCCCCAGGUCAGGCGGGGGCUACCCUGCUUGACUUUUAANCAUUAUCAAU
This 52-nucleotide ribosomal RNA is filed under the name Morus alba (white mulberry). RNAcentral describes it as "partial 28S ribosomal RNA". The record is from RNAcentral. Lineage: Eukaryota; Viridiplantae; Streptophyta; Magnoliopsida; Rosales; Moraceae.